Molecule: ribosomal RNA, 1395 nt
Filed under: human gut metagenome
Description: bacterial LSU rRNA
Rfam family: Bacterial large subunit ribosomal RNA
Source: RNAcentral
AGGUAAGUUGCGUGAAGGUAGAGCACUGAAUAUGUGAUGGCCCCAUCUCGGGGUACUGAGCAUAAUCAAACUGCGAAUGUCACGCCAACAUGCUCGGCAGUCAGACAGCGGGUGAUAAGGUCCGUUGUCAAGAGGGAAACAGCCCAGACCAUCAGCUAAGGUCCCAAAAUGUAUGCUAAGUGGAAAAGGAUGUGGAGAUGUACAGACAACUAGGAGGUUGGCUCAGAAGCAGCCAUCCUUUAAAGAGUGCGUAACAGCUCACUAGUCGAAUGACUCUGCGCCGAUAAUUUACCGGGGCUAAGCAUACUACCGAAGCUAUGGAUCCCAAGGGAUGGUAGGGGAGCGUUCCAUGAACGGAGAAGUACGACCGAAAGGACGUGUGGAGAUCAUGGAAGAGAGAAUGCCGGUGUGAGUAGCGGAACGUGGGUGAGAAUCCCACGCACCGAAAACCCAAGGUUUCCAGAGGAAGGUUCGUCCGCUCUGGGUAAGUCGGGACCUAAGGCGAGGCCGAAAGGCGUAGUCGAUGGACAACAGGUAGAGAUUCCUGUACCCGUAUAUAUGUGAAGGAAUGACGGAGAGAGGAAGCUGCAGCCAGCGGCUGGAAGAGCUGGUGCAAGCGAGAUAUCGGGAUGGCAGGCAAAUCCACCAUCCGAAACGAGAAGGCGUGAAGCGUACGGAAAGCUACGGCGAGUACGGAAGGCAGUGGAGGAACUUCCAAGAAAAGUUUCUAACGUUAAGUAUAUAUGGCCCGUACCGAAAAUGGACACACAUGGGUGAGGAGAGAAUCCUAAGGUGAGCGAGAGAACUAUAGCUAAGGAACUCUGCAAAAUGACCCCGUAACUUAGGGAGAAGGAGUGCUCAUAGAGAUAUGAGCCGCAGUGAAACGGCCCAAGCGACUGUUUACCAAAAACACAGCUCUCUGCUAAGCCGCAAGGCGAAGUAUAGGGGGUGACGCCUGCCCGGUGCUGGAAGGUUAAGGGGAGGGGUUAACGCAAGUGAAGCCCUGAACUGAAGCCCCAGUAAACGGCGGCCGUAACUAUAACGGUCCUAAGGUAGCGAAAUUCCUUGUCAGGUAAGUUCUGACCCGCACGAAAGGCGUAAUGAUUUGGGCGCUGUCUCAGCUGUAGACUCGGUGAAGUCUUAGUACCUGUGAAGAUGCAGGUUACCCGCGACUAGACGGAAAGACCCCAUGGAGCUUCACUGCAGGUUGAUAUUGGGAUUUGAUGCAGCAUGUACAGGAUAGGUAGGAGGCAAAGAGAUGGAUACGCCAGUAUUCAAGGAGCCGCUGUUGGGAUACUACCCCUGUUGUAUUGGAUUUCUAACCGGACGACGUAGAGCCGUUGACGGGACAGUGUCAGUCGGGCAGUUUGACUGGGGCGGUCGCCUCCCAAAGAG